Molecule: ribosomal RNA, 426 nt
Filed under: uncultured prokaryote
Description: bacterial SSU rRNA
Rfam family: Bacterial small subunit ribosomal RNA
Source: RNAcentral
UGGGGAAUUUUCCGCAAUGGGCGCAAGCCUGACGGAGCAAUACCGCGUGAGGGAGGAAGGCUUUUGGGUUGUAAACCUCUUUUCUCACGGAAGAAGCACUGACGGUACUUGAGGAAUCAGCAUCGGCUAACUCCGUGCCAGCAGCCGCGGUAAUACGGAGGGGGUUAGCGUUGUUCGGAAUUACUGGGCGUAAAGCGCGCGUAGGCGGAUUAGAAAGUUAGAGGUGAAAUCCCGGGGCUCAACCCCGGAACUGCCUUUAAAACUCCUAGUCUUGAGUUCGAGAGAGGUGAGUGGAAUUCCGAGUGUAGAGGUGAAAUUCGUAGAUAUUCGGAGGAACACCAGUGGCGAAGGCGGCUCACUGGCUCGAUACUGACGCUGAGGUGCGAAAGUGUGGGGAGCAAACAGGAUUAGAUACCCCUGUAGUCC